AUACGUAGGGAGCAAGCGUUGUCCGGAAUUACUGGGCGUAAAGGGCGUGUAGGCGGCCGAUCAAGUCAGGUGUGAAAUUUCAGGGCUCAACCCUGAGCGUGCACUUGAAACUGGUUGGCUUGAGUGCAGAAGAGGAAAGUGGAAUUCCCAGUGUAGCGGUGAAAUGCGUAGAUAUUGGGAGGAACACCAGUGGCGAAGGCGACUUUCUGGUCGGUAACUGACGCUGAGGCGCGAAAGCUAGGGGAGCGAACAGGAUUAGAUACCCUGGUAGUCCUAGCCGUAAACGAUGGGCACUAGGUGUAGGGGGUUUAGACGCCCUCUGUGCCGCAGUUAACACAUUAAGUACCCCGCCUGGGGAGUACGGCCGCAAGGCUGAAACUCAAAUGAAUUGACGGGG
Molecule: ribosomal RNA, 397 nt
Filed under: uncultured bacterium
Lineage: Bacteria
Description: partial 16S ribosomal RNA
Rfam family: Bacterial small subunit ribosomal RNA
Source: RNAcentral